This 786-nucleotide ribosomal RNA is filed under the name Eulophia livingstoneana. RNAcentral describes it as "eukaryotic LSU rRNA". The stretch from base 328 to 483 matches the Rfam family "5.8S ribosomal RNA". The record is from RNAcentral. Lineage: Eukaryota; Viridiplantae; Streptophyta; Magnoliopsida; Asparagales; Orchidaceae.
GACUCGGCGAGAAGUCCAUUGAACCUUAUCAUUUAGAGGAAGGAGAAGUCGUAACAAGGUUUCCGUAGGUGAACCUGCGGAAGGAUCAUUGUCGAGACCGAAAUAUACACCGAGCAACUCGGAGAACUCGUGAAACGAUGUGCGGCGAUCGCCGCGGAACGACCGUUCGACCUGCGCAUCGCCUCCUCUUUUCGGGGCAGGCUCUGCGGCGGAGGACGGAUGAGAACACAAACCGGCGCAGCAUCGCGCCAAGGGAAAGCUGAAAGGCACGAGCCCGGCGUUGGGCUCGUUGGUGUGGAGUGCUGUUGCACGCCAUACAACGGACACGACUCUCGGCAAUGGAUAUCUCGGCUCUCGCAUCGAUGAAGAGCGCAGCGAAAUGCGAUACGUGGUGCGAAUUGCAGAAUCCCGCGAACCAUCGAGUCUUUGAACGCAAGUUGCGCCUGAGGCCAGCAGGCCGAGGGCACGUCUGCCUGGGCGUCAAGCUUCAUGUCGCUCCGCGCCAGCUCCGUUCUUGCCUGAUGGGUGUGACGGUCGUGGCCCGGAUGUGCAGAGUGGCCCGUCGUGCCGGUCGGCGCGGCGGGUUGAAGAGCGGGCUACGUCUCGCCGGCCGCGAACAACUAGGGCUGGGUUGAAGCUAUGAGCGAUACCUGCGUUGUCUCGUGAUGGCCCGAGAGACGGAUUUCUGCCCUCAAGGUGAUCCCAACCAAUGCGCCGGCUUGGAUGCAUCGGCCUUGGAAUGCGACCCCAGGAUGGGCGAGGCCACCCGCUGAGUUUAAGCAUAUC